CCAGACUCCUACGGGAGGCAGCAGUGGGGAAUAUUGCACAAUGGGGGGAACCCUGAUGCAGCGACGCCGCGUGGGUGAAGGAGCACCUCGGUGCGUAAAGCCCUAUCGGCAGGGAAGAAAAGCGAACAGGUUCGCCUGGACGGUACCUGACUAAGAAGCCCCGGCUAACUACGCGCCAGCAGCCGCGGGAAUACGUAGGGGGCAAGCGUUAUCCGGAUUCACUGGGUGUAAAGGGAGCGUAGGCGGCGGCGCAAGUCUGGAGUGAAAGCCCGGGGCCCAACCCCGGGACUGCUCUGGAAACUGCGUCGCUGGAGUACGGGAGGGGCAGGCGGAAUUCCUGGUGUAGCGGUGAAAUGCAUAGAUAUCACGCAGAACCCCGAUUGCGAAGGCAGCAUACCGGCGCCCAACUGACGCUGAAGCACGAAAGCGUGGGUAUCGAACAGGAUUAGAUACCCGAGUA
This 460-nucleotide ribosomal RNA is filed under the name uncultured bacterium. RNAcentral describes it as "bacterial SSU rRNA". It matches the Rfam family "Bacterial small subunit ribosomal RNA", at positions 331 to 792 of the family's 1533-position model. The record is from RNAcentral.